RNAcentral lists this ribosomal RNA (264 nucleotides) under uncultured archaeon. RNAcentral's name for it is "partial 16S ribosomal RNA". It matches the Rfam family "Archaeal small subunit ribosomal RNA", at positions 719 to 982 of the family's 1478-position model. The record is from RNAcentral.
ACAGUCACACAUUAGAUACCCCGGUAGUCCCAGCCGUAAACUAUGCUCGCUAGGUGUCAGGCAUGGCGCGACCGUGUCUGGUGCCGCAGGGAAGCCGUGAAGCGAGCCACCUGGGAAGUACGGCCGCAAGGCUGAAACUUAAAGGAAUUGGCGGGGAGCACAACAACGGGUGGAGCCUGCGGUUUAAUUGGACUCAACGCCGGACAACUCACCGGGGACGACAGCAAUAUGUAGGCCAGGCUGAAGACCUUGCCUGAAUCGCUG